Molecule: long non-coding RNA, 1733 nt
Organism: Ursus thibetanus thibetanus
Lineage: Eukaryota; Metazoa; Chordata; Mammalia; Carnivora; Ursidae
Source: Ensembl
UAACAGCGCGGCGACGUCCUCCAGGUCCUCCUGCAGGUCGGGGAGGGGAGUGGAGGGAGGGCAGGUGCUGCUCACAGGUAAGCUCGCCCGGGCAUGUUCACGCUGCCGAGUUACGGUACGUGCAUCACGGACACCAGGGCCCCGACUGAAGUGGGGCAAGAGAACUCAGGUUCCUGCAAGUGCCUGCUUACAUUGACUGCUCUGGGCGCCUCGCUUGCCUCACCCUAAUCCUCACACUGGUGGACGCAUAAAUCUGGCGAGUCAGGUCUGGCGAGCGGUGUUACCAUACAGCACCAAGCCCCUGGGAGCCGGGGACCCUAAGACGGGUAAGAGUGCGCUAAAGGCGAAGGAAAUCAACAGAGAUUUACGAUCACAGUGAAGUAUGUAGUCUCUGCUGGUUGGAGCUUCUUCCUUGCACCCCCACCCCAAGAUACACUGAGCUGCUUCAGCUAGGUCUCUAAAUCUAAAAUUGGUGCUCUUUGGUAUAAGUAGAUGAGUUGCACUCUCUCCACCCCACUAAUAAUUUUUGUGAGUAUAAAUAUCCAGUGCAAUCUGGAAGUUUCUAAAAUUACCUAGAAAAAUAGCUUUGAGGAGCUCAGACACCACAAACACACACACACACACACACACACACACACAGGGUGCUAGAUUGAUAGGUAAUCCCUGCCCAAAGGAUCUACAAACCCAUAAAGCAGAUAAAUAAUUCAACAGUUAAAAAAAAUUACUAAAUGGAAUAGAGUCCGCUCUCAUGGGGACAAUUCCCCAAGCUUGACCCCUUUCUAUAGAAGCUUCAUUUCCUUCCAGAGAGCUUUCAAAGGUGGUUUACCUCUAGAAAUUUUCAUGAAGAAACUUCUGGGGCUGAUUAGAAGUGGUUGUGUCCUGAAUAAAUUACAAUUCCAGGUGCCUAUACAGUGUAAAAAGAGAAAAGAUCCCCCAAGGAGAUUCGAUGAUAGAAAAAGACUGACAUUGAAGCCAGACCAAGCUGAGUUGGAAUCCAUGACCUCCAUGGAGUUACCUCUUUUAGCCUUAGUUUUCUCACCUGCAAAAUGGGACCAAAUGGUACUACCGGCUGUGAUCAACUAUACGGAGAAAAACUGGCUCAAAGAGAUGUUAAGCAGCAUCCCCCAAAUCCUGACGGAGCUAGGAUCUGAAUGCCGGCAAUUUGGUUACUGAUCCAGAGCUCUCAGCCACUACAUUAUACCACUUACUUCAUGAUAGAUCCAGUCUCAUUUCUUCUACUUAACAAACCACUAGAGGUACAGCUUGGCAUGUGGAAUUCCAUUCCUGUUUUGUGUUCAUUUAGGGAUUGAUUCUCUCAUCACCACUCUGAGGGAAGCAGGGCCGGUGCUGGGGCCCCUAGCACUCAGCCAUAGGGCUUCCACACAAUAAUACGCCAUAAAUAUUUAUUGUUUGGUGAAUGAAGCCCAAUUUUACUGAGGAAGAAACAAACUCAAAAAGGAAGAGCCAAUCCUGAACUUGAACCAAGGUCUCGCGACUCCACGUCCAAUGUUCUUGCAAAGAUAGCCUGCUGCCUAAACUGUUGCUGUGAUAUGUACAUGCAACUUUACCAUCCGGUGGGAGGACGGAAACACUACAAGUAGGGUAUGGACAGUCCAUCAUCCUAUGGACAAGCAGCUCCAUUAGGAACACCCUGAGGGUUACAUCCAGGGAAAUUUAAACAGGGUCUUAUGCAACUUUGUGUGGUAUACUUAUAUAUAUAUUAUACUGUGCUA